This 513-nucleotide ribosomal RNA is filed under the name uncultured bacterium. RNAcentral describes it as "partial 16S ribosomal RNA". It matches the Rfam family "Bacterial small subunit ribosomal RNA", at positions 28 to 523 of the family's 1533-position model. The record is from RNAcentral.
GAUGAACGCUGGCGGCGUGCCUAAUACAUGCAAGUCGAGCGAACAGACGAGGAGCUUGCUCCUCUGACGUUAGCGGCGGACGGGUGAGUAACACGUGGAUGACCUACCUAUAAGACUGGGAUAACUUCGGGAAACCGGAGCUAAUACCGGAUAAUAUAUUGAACCGCAUGGUUCAAUAGUGAAAGACGGUUUUGCUGUCACUUAUAGAUGGAUCCGCGCCGCAUUAGCUAGUUGGUAAGGUAACGGCUUACCAAGGCGACGAUGCGUAGCCGACCGGAGAGGGUGAUCGGCCACACUGGAACUGAGACACGGUCCAGACUCCUACGGGAGGCAGCAGUAGGGAAUCUUCCGCAAUGGGCGAAAGCCUGCCGGAGCAACGCCGCGUGAGUGAUGAAGGUCUUCGGAUCGUAAAACUCUGUUAUUAGGGAAGAACAAAUGUGUAAGUAACCAUGUACGUCUUGACGGUACCUAAUCAGAAAGCCACGGCUAACUACGUGCUAGCCGCCGCCGUAA